AUCGCCUCUCGGGCCUUUUGGCUAAAAUUAAGUGUAGUAUCUGUUCUUAUCAGUUUAAUAUCACUCAGCAUUCCAAAGCAAUGUGGAUGAACAAUAAUGCUGUGGUCGUUGAGACUCAUA
RNAcentral lists this small nuclear RNA (120 nucleotides) under Suricata suricatta (meerkat). Its description in RNAcentral is "U2 spliceosomal RNA (ENSSSUG00005002235.1)". It matches the Rfam family "U2 spliceosomal RNA". Rfam says of the family: U2 is a small nuclear RNA (snRNA) component of the spliceosome (involved in pre-mRNA splicing). The record is from Rfam by way of RNAcentral. Lineage: Eukaryota; Metazoa; Chordata; Mammalia; Carnivora; Herpestidae.